AGUUAACAACUGGCCCGUCCCCGGAUUUCCUGGCCCACUCAGCGAUGGCCGGGGGGUUUGGCUCGGGUUCACGAGUAACAAACCCUUUGUCGUCCGACCAUGUUGCCUCGGGGGAGACCCUGCCUUCGGGCGGGUGGCACCCCGGUGGACCAAACCAAACUCUUGCAUAACAAUGUAGUCUGAGUGAUUUAAACAAUAAAUCAAAACUUUCAACAACGGAUCUCUUGGUUCU
This 232-nucleotide unclassified non-coding RNA is filed under the name rhizosphere metagenome. Its description in RNAcentral is "partial ribosomal RNA internal transcribed spacer region". The record is from RNAcentral.